AAAUGCGAUAAUUAAUGUGAAUUGCAGAAUUCAGUGAAUCAUCGAGUCUUUGAACGCACAUUGCACCCCCUGGUAUUCCGGGGGGUAUGCCUGUCCGAGCGUCAUUGCUGCCCUCAAGCCCGGCUUGUGUGUUGGGUCCUCGUCCCCCCCCGGGGGACGGGCCCGAAAGGCAGCGGCGGCACCGCGUCCGGUCCUCGAGCGUAUGGGGCUUUGUCACACCGCUCUCGUAGGCCCGGCCGGCGCUGGCCGACGCUGAAAAGCAACCAUUAUUUCUCCAGGUUGACCUCGGAUCAGGUAGGGAUACCCGCUGAACUUAAGC
Molecule: unclassified non-coding RNA, 319 nt
Filed under: plant metagenome
Description: partial contains 5.8S ribosomal RNA, internal transcribed spacer 2, and large subunit ribosomal RNA
Rfam family: 5.8S ribosomal RNA (bases 1-104)
Source: RNAcentral